AUGGAUUCCUCUGGACAAGAAGGAGGUGGGGUUGCCCAAGUUGUUGAUCCAGAAGGGGAGGAACAAACUGAAUAUCCCCCUCAAGGUCUCCGCAAUGACUCAGCCCAAGAAGGAGGUGGGGUUGCCCAAGUUGAUGAACCAGAAGGUGAGGAACCAACUGAAUAUCCGCCACGAGGUCUCCGCAAUGACUCAGGUGCUCGGGUAUUCCCUCACAAGUUAUGCAAGUCUACUUACAUUACCAGACUGUCUUUCAAGCGUUGGGAAAAAACUGUGAAGCAGUUUAGUGACAUUCAGUUAGGCCAUGUGAGAAAGUACAAAAUGGAAGCUCUACUUCAUAUGCCAAAGAAACUUAAAAUCCCCAUGAAUCUGCUUGAAUGGAUAGAUCAACACAUGUUUGGAACUAAAGAGCCCUGUUUCAAGCAUAAGAAUAAAGUUAUCAAGAUUACUAAAGAUAUGGUCGACAAAAUUUUCGAUUUCCCUGGUGGCACCAAGCCUUUUGUAUUCAGUAGCGAUGAUCCCCAAGUGAAAGCAGAGGUUACACAGUUGAGGAACAAGUAUAUUGAUCAUCGGAACAAAAUGCUAAUUAAUAAAAUAGAGGAGGUGAUGCUUAGUGAUGAGACAGAAGAUGGUUUUAUUAGGAGCUUCACAUUUUAUUUUCUAUCAUCUAUUUUGUGCCCUGCAUCAUAUUGUUUUGGCAACACCAAGUUCUUGUACUCUCUAAGAGAUGUUUCUGCUAUUCCUUCUCUCGACUUUGCGCAAUUGGCACUGGAUUUCAUGCGUGAGGAGUCAGAGCGUCACUUAGAAAUGAUCAUGAACAGACCAAGUGUUGAGGAAAUGAACAAGUCUUCAUAUAUUGGGGGAUGUCUUCCUAUUUGGGGAAUCAUUUAUCUGGAUUUUGUUGAUUUCGAUUUUAUUGAUAAUCAUCAGUCUACUGUGGAUUAUUCUCUUCCACGGAUAUGUCAUGUUAAGACAGAAGAUUUCAAGUAUCUUGCAUUGGUUGAUAGGAAUUAUGAGUCUAGGAAAUUUUUUGGUGUUUUACCACUGCGAGACAUAUCACAUACCCCAUAUUACAAUGUCGGGCCUAUUAACAAUGCUCCCGACGCUGAUGGUGUGAUUAACUCAACUCCUUAUGUGGAGGUCAACAAUGCAAAUAGUGUUCCUGAAGCUCUACAUGAGAACACGUCAAUUGAUUCAAAAAGUCCUCAUACCAUUUCAGAAAUUCCCAGUUCCACUGCAAAAGUUGAAGCAGAUUUAAAACCAAAACCAGAGCCACAUUUGAAAACAGAGGUUCCCUCCAGUGAUGUCCUUAAGCCGGAGCCAAUCGGACCAAAAUUUGAGAACAUUUUUGUCCUGAAUUCGGUGUACAAAACACCAAUAUUCCCAGCUCAUACUUCAAAUGUGAACACCAACUCUGUCCACCAAGAAACUACUUCACAACCUAAGGAAGUAGUUUUUCUAUCAGCUAAAGCAGAUGAUAUCAAAUUUUCCACUGAAGUUAAUGCAAAAAGAAGUUUUAUACUCAUCAGUUCUGCCUCUGGAAAUGAAAGAGUCAAGCGUUUUCAAGGAACUCCAAUUCUUAUUGAUGAUGAUUCUCCUACCACUCCUGCUGCCGCGACUAACGAAGUGAUACCAGCCUCUCACUGUGAUACAAGUGAAGGAAUUCCAAUGAACAUGGAGUUUUCUGUCCAACUAGGCUAUUCUUCAUUGAAUAAUGCAGAAGCUGGACCAAGUACAAGACCUAAUACAAUUGAAAAGAAGAACAGGAAAAAAAGAGCAGCUAAACUUCAAUCUCCUGAUGCACCAAAGAAACUGAAAAUAUCUCAAGAAGUGGACAUUUUCUUCUCCAAAUAUUUGAGGAAGCCUAUCUUUCAAGAAUAA
Molecule: ribosomal RNA, 1878 nt
Filed under: Triticum aestivum (bread wheat)
Lineage: Eukaryota; Viridiplantae; Streptophyta; Magnoliopsida; Poales; Poaceae
Description: partial small subunit ribosomal RNA
Source: RNAcentral